UACGUAUGGUGCAAGCGUUAUCCGGAUUUACUGGGUGUAAAGGGAGCGCAGGCGGCACGGCAAGCCUGAUGUGAAAGCCCGCGGCCCAACCGCGGGACUGCAUUGGGAACUACCGGGCUGGAGUGCCGGAGAGGUAGGCGGAAUUCCUAGUGUAGCGGUGAAAUGCGUAGAUAUUAGGAGGAACGCCAGUGGCGAAGGCGGCCUACUGGACGGUGACUGACGCUGAGGCUCGAAAGCGUGGGGAGCAAACAGG
Molecule: ribosomal RNA, 253 nt
Filed under: uncultured bacterium
Lineage: Bacteria
Description: partial 16S ribosomal RNA
Rfam family: Bacterial small subunit ribosomal RNA
Source: RNAcentral